GAUGAACGCUGGCGGCGUGCCUAAUACAUGCAAGUCGAGCGAACAGACGAGGAGCUUGCUCCUCUGACGUUAGCGGAGGACGGGUGAGUAACACGUGGAUAACCUACCUAUAAGACUGGGAUAACUUCGGGAAACCGGAGAUAAUACCGUAUAACAUGCUGAACCGCAUGGUUCAACAGUGAAAGACGGUCUUGCUGUCACUUCUAGAUGGAUCUGCGCCGCAUUAGCUAGUUGGUACGGUAACGGCUUACCAAGGCAACGAUGCGUAGCCGACCUGAGAGGGUGAUCGGCGACACGGGAAGUGAGACAGGGUCCAGACUCCUACGAGAGGCAGCAGUAGGGAAUCUUCCGCAAUAGGCGGAAGCCUGACGGAGCAACGCCGCGUGAGUGAAGAAGGUCUUCGGAUCGUAAAACUCUGUUAUUAGGGAAGAACAAAUGUGUAAGUAACUAUGCACGUCUUGACGGUAACGAAUCAGAAAGCCACGGCUAACUACGUG
RNAcentral lists this ribosomal RNA (497 nucleotides) under uncultured bacterium. RNAcentral describes it as "partial 16S ribosomal RNA". It matches the Rfam family "Bacterial small subunit ribosomal RNA", at positions 28 to 507 of the family's 1533-position model. The record is from RNAcentral.